This 424-nucleotide ribosomal RNA is filed under the name uncultured bacterium. Its description in RNAcentral is "bacterial SSU rRNA". It matches the Rfam family "Bacterial small subunit ribosomal RNA", at positions 28 to 440 of the family's 1533-position model. The record is from RNAcentral.
GACGAACGCUGGCGGCGUGCCUAACACAUGCAAGUCGAGCGGGGAGGAGGAAGCUUGCUUCCGAAUCCUAGCGGCGGACGGGUGAGUAACGCGUGAGCAACCUGCCUUGAACUGGGGGAUAACGCAUCGAAAGAUGUGCUAAUACCGCGUAAGACCACGGUACCGCAUGGUACAGGGGUCAAAGGAGCAAUCCGGUUUAAGAUGGGGCUCGCGUCCGAUUAGCUAGUUGGUGAGAUAACAGCCACCAAGGCGACGAUCGGUAGCCGACCUGAGAGGGUGAUCGGCCACAUUGGAACUGAGACACGGUCCAGACUCCUACGGGAGGCAGCAGUGGGGGAAUAUUGGGCAAUGGGCGGAAAAGCCUGACCCACGCAACGCCGCGUGAGGGAAGAAAGGGUUUCGGGCUCGUAAACCUACUGUCCUA